AACUAUGUUUGUUAUUGGUAUGAGCUUUUGUGUGCAUGCACACUUCUUCAGAUACAUAUCUGAAGAAGUGUGCAUGCACACAAAAGCUCAUACCAGUGACAUACCACAAGAA
This 112-nucleotide microRNA precursor is filed under the name Podarcis lilfordi (Lilford's wall lizard). Lineage: Eukaryota; Metazoa; Chordata; Lepidosauria; Squamata; Lacertidae. The record is from RNAcentral.